RNAcentral lists this small nucleolar RNA (112 nucleotides) under Nicotiana attenuata. Its description in RNAcentral is "snoRNA Plant_U3". Lineage: Eukaryota; Viridiplantae; Streptophyta; Magnoliopsida; Solanales; Solanaceae. The record is from RNAcentral.
ACGACCUUACUUGAACAGGAUGUCCUCUGUAGGCUCGUGCCACUGUAUCCUUGAGUUCUAAGAAGAUAGAAGACCGAGUCUGGUUGAUGAGGCAUGACUGUGAGACCAGAAC